GGUUAAGCGACUAAGCGUACACGGUGGAUGCCCUGGCAGUCAGAGGCGAUGAAGGACGUGCUAAUCUGCGAUAAGCGUCGGUAAGGUGAUAUGAACCGUUAUAACCGGCGAUUUCCGAAUGGGGAAACCCAGUGUGUUUCGACACACUAUCAUUAACUGAAUCCAUAGGUUAAUGAGGCGAACCGGGGGAACUGAAACAUCUAAGUACCCCGAGGAAAAGAAAUCAACCGAGAUUCCCCCAGUAGCGGCGAGCGAACGGGGAGCAGCCCAGAGCCUGAAUCAGUGUGUGUGUUAGUGGAAGCGUCUGGAAAGGCGCGCGAUACAGGGUGACAGCCCCGUACACAAAAAUGCACAUGCUGUGAGCUCGAUGAGUAGGGCGGGACACGUGGUAUCCUGUCUGAAUAUGGGGGGACCAUCCUCCAAGGCUAAAUACUCCUGACUGACCGAUAGUGAACCAGUACCGUGAGGGAAAGGCGAAAAGAACCCCGGCGAGGGGAGUGAAAAAGAACCUGAAACCGUGUACGUACAAGCAGUGGGAGCACGCUUAGGCGUGUGACUGCGUACCUUUUGUAUAAUGGGUCAGCGACUUAUAUUCUGUAGCAAGGUUAACCGAAUAGGGGAGCCGAAGGGAAACCGAGUCUUAACUGGGCGUUAAGUUGCAGGGUAUAGACCCGAAACCCGGUGAUCUAGCCAUGGGCAGGUUGAAGGUUGGGUAACACUAACUGGAGGACCGAACCGACUAAUGUUGAAAAAUUAGCGGAUGACUUGUGGCUGGGGGUGAAAGGCCAAUCAAACCGGGAGAUAGCUGGUUCUCCCCGAAAGCUAUUUAGGUAGCGCCUCGUGAAUUCAUCUCCGGGGGUAGAGCACUGUUUCGGCAAGGGGGUCAUCCCGACUUACCAACCCGAUGCAAACUGCGAAUACCGGAGAAUGUUAUCACGGGAGACACACGGCGGGUGCUAACGUCCGUCGUGAAGAGGGAAACAACCCAGACCGCCAGCUAAGGUCCCAAAGUCAUGGUUAAGUGGGAAACGAUGUGGGAAGGCCCAGACAGCCAGGAUGUUGGCUUAGAAGCAGCCAUCAUUUAAAGAAAGCGUAAUAGCUCACUGGUCGAGUCGGCCUGCGCGGAAGAUGUAACGGGGCUAAACCAUGCACCGAAGCUGCGGCAGCGACGCUGAUGCGUUGUUGGGUAGGGGAGCGUUCUGUAAGCCUGCGAAGGUGUGCUGUGAGGCAUGCUGGAGGUAUCAGAAGUGCGAAUGCUGACAUAAGUAACGAUAAAGCGGGUGAAAAGCCCGCUCGCCGGAAGACCAAGGGUUCCUGUCCAACGUUAAUCGGGGCAGGGUGAGUCGACCCCUAAGGCGAGGCCGAAAGGCGUAGUCGAUGGGAAACAGGUUAAUAUUCCUGUACUUGGUGUUACUGCGAAGGGGGGACGGAGAAGGCUAUGUUGGCCGGGCGACGGUUGUCCCGGUUUAAGCGUGUAGGCUGGUUUUCCAGGCAAAUCCGGAAAAUCAAGGCUGAGGCGUGAUGACGAGGCACUACGGUGCUGAAGCAACAAAUGCCCUGCUUCCAGGAAAAGCCUCUAAGCAUCAGGUAACAUCAAAUCGUACCCCAAACCGACACAGGUGGUCAGGUAGAGAAUACCAAGGCGCUUGAGAGAACUCGGGUGAAGGAACUAGGCAAAAUGGUGCCGUAACUUCGGGAGAAGGCACGCUGAUAUGUAGGUGAAGUCCCUCGCGGAUGGAGCUGAAAUCAGUCGAAGAUACCAGCUGGCUGCAACUGUUUAUUAAAAACACAGCACUGUGCAAACACGAAAGUGGACGUAUACGGUGUGACGCCUGCCCGGUGCCGGAAGGUUAAUUGAUGGGGU
Molecule: ribosomal RNA, 1864 nt
Filed under: Escherichia coli
Lineage: Bacteria; Pseudomonadati; Pseudomonadota; Gammaproteobacteria; Enterobacterales; Enterobacteriaceae
Description: partial 23S ribosomal RNA
Rfam family: Bacterial large subunit ribosomal RNA
Source: RNAcentral